CCUACUAUAAGACUGGGAUAACUUCGGGAAACCGGAGCUAAUACCGGAUAAUAUAUUGAACCGCAUGGUUCAAUAGUGAAAGACGGUUUUGCUGUCACUUAUAGAUGGAUCCGCGCCGCAUUAGCUAGUUGGUAAGGUAACGGCUUACCAAGGCAACGAUGCGUAGCCGACCUGAGAGGGUGAUCGGCCACACUGGAACUGAGACACGGUCCAG
This 214-nucleotide ribosomal RNA is filed under the name uncultured Staphylococcus sp. RNAcentral describes it as "partial 16S ribosomal RNA". It matches the Rfam family "Bacterial small subunit ribosomal RNA", at positions 126 to 334 of the family's 1533-position model. The record is from RNAcentral. Lineage: Bacteria; Bacillati; Bacillota; Bacilli; Caryophanales; Staphylococcaceae.